CCCGCUAACUCUAAUAAAAAACAUGUAAUCGUAUUUAUUUUCCUUCCGUUUAGUCAGAGGCGCUGAUGUCGGCAUUGUGAUUGGUGGAACAUGACUUUUGACAAAUCGUGCGCUAUCUGUGAAUCUGUAAUCUGUGUUCGUGUUCGUUCGUUCGUUGUCGUUCACUUAUUUUAUAUGGUCGGUUAUGAUGUGAUGUGUUUGGUGUUUGUGUUUGUGCCACCAUAAAAAGCUGAUAUUCAGUCGUGUUUUUUGAUAUUUUUGUUAUUUCAUAAUCGAGUACCUUUUUAAAGGUAAGUUUUUCUGAUUGUAGGUACUGUUUAUCCAACAGUUUUAAAAUACACAUUUUAUUUCGCGUUUUGUUGUUGGGUCUAAUGGCCGAUCAGCUGUUGUGUGCAGCCGAUAAAUUCAACAAGUAAACAUAUAUUUAAUCGAAAUUAAAUACUAAUAUUUCUAUGUAAAAUGUCACAUUAUUGUAUAAAUAAAUAAUUAAGAAACAAAAGUUGUUUGUGUUUUACCUUUAUUGGCCACUUUAAUAAAAUAAUAUUAAAUAUUGGAAGUACCGUAUGGAGGCUAUGGUGUACCUAGCGUGGAGGCUAGAUAACGCUACCCCUCCUAUCCAAUCAACAGCAAGAACGUUUAAAAUUUCACACCUAUCAUGUCGAAGCUACAGACCACUUAUGUGGAGGCCAGAUUUGUAGUAUCCUUCCAAUUUCCCAGGUGCUGAAAUACGUGACAUAUUUUUUGAAGGGUAAGAUCGCAUUCUACCAAAUCAGACAACACUUUUUUCUAUGCUUGACUGUGAGCUGUGGUGUCGAAUAGAUAUAUCAUAUAGAAUGGCGGAUGAUUUCCUCCAACUUAUUUUAUCACAUAAGAAAUUUAACGUAAAGUAAAAAGUUACCACCAGGGAUUGUCUGGAGUGAGGAGACAUGUGGGUGACAACUCCUGUUGGAGUAUAAAUAGGAAUCAUUCGCCAUUUGGGAGAAACCCUACCAUGAAGUCAUAGACCUUAUUUGACCACCUAGAGAAACCACUACAGCCACAGUCAAGUCAUCAUGGGAAUACGUCUUUUUGGGAACAAGCUAUGGGAGCGUUCCAGCUCAAUUUUCGUCUUGGCACCUGGGCCUACAGGAGUCAUGGGGUCGCACCAUCCUGGUGCAUCAUUUUCUAGGAUGUAACCGCAACCUCGUUUGGGAACAUUUAGUGAGGUGUUUUAGUAACUAUUGGUUUUUUUUUAUAUUUCAGACUAUCUGUUAAAUACACUAUGUUUUUUUUUCCAGAUUUAGGUUACCUCUGGUUUUUUUUUGACAUAUUUGUAUAUUAGAUUAUUUGGUUCCCAAACUUUGUAUCUACGGUAACUUCUUGUGCACAGGAAUAAGCCUAGAGAAAAUUAGGUUUUUAAUACUUUAUUAUUGCUUUGAUAUUGGUUUAUGUAAUUCGGGUAAAUUUAUAUUUUAAUAUUACUAGCUUGUUUCCCAAAUAUUUUACUGUUAUUCGCUUUAUUCCGUUUGUUCGGUUAAUUUAGGUCAUCGUCGGUAUUUAUCUCAACUUCAUUUCUACUUUAUUCAUUGUAUAUCUAACUUUGCUUAAUUCAUUUAGUAUUUUCCCUUAGUUAGGCUCAUGCCUAUUUACAUAUAUUUAUUUAUAUUACUUUUAAUAUUCAUCGGUUUUCCUUUAGUUGUACGUAGCAGGCGUACUAUCACCAUUUGGUAGAAGACUUAUGUAAUUUUGUACCCUAUAUGUUAGUGAAAGGUAUUUAUACCUGUAAUUUUGUAACAGGUAACAUUGUUGUUAUCUUAGGUUGAACAUAACUUUUGCAAACUUUUGUCAUGUUAGAGUCACAUAAUAUGAACUUGUUUAACUCAGAGAUUGUUAAAAAUCUGGUAGUUCAUUUUAAUAAAUGUUUAUUUAUUUUGUA
RNAcentral lists this long non-coding RNA (1915 nucleotides) under Diabrotica virgifera virgifera (western corn rootworm). Its description in RNAcentral is "uncharacterized LOC126885028". Lineage: Eukaryota; Metazoa; Arthropoda; Insecta; Coleoptera; Chrysomelidae. The record is from RNAcentral.